This 402-nucleotide unclassified non-coding RNA is filed under the name uncultured Inocybe. Its description in RNAcentral is "sequence contains ITS2". The stretch from base 1 to 154 matches the Rfam family "5.8S ribosomal RNA". Lineage: Eukaryota; Fungi; Basidiomycota; Agaricomycetes; Agaricales; Cortinariaceae. The record is from RNAcentral.
AACUUUCAGCAACGGAUCUCUUGGUUCUCUCAUCGAUGAAGAACGCAGCGAAAUGCGAUAAGUAAUGUGAAUUGCAGAAUUCAGUGAAUCAUCGAAUCUUUGAACGCAACUUGCGCUCCUUGGUACUCUGAGGAGCAUGCCUGUUUGAGUGUCAUUAAACUUCUUCUCAACCCAUCCAGUUUCUCUGUGUGUGGGCUUUGGAAAAUUGGGGGCUUGCUGGUUAUCUAUUUGUCCAGCUCUCCUGAAAAGCAAUAGCGACUUAUUGGAUGCCAUCAGGUGUGCUAACAUAUCUAAACCUUUGCAGUGGCUGCAUUAGUGCUGCUUUAGUGGGCAUUGAUGAUAUUUGACCUCAAAUCAGAUAGGACUACCCGCUGAACUUAAGCAUAUCACUAAGCGGAGUCU